UAACACGUAAGCAACCUGCCUAUUAGAGGGGAAUAACAGUGAGAAAUCAUUGCUAAUACCGCAUAAGCUGACAAUAUCGCAUGAUAUAGUCAGAAAAGGAGAAAUCCGCUAAUAGAUGGGCUUGCGUCCGAUUAGCUAGUUGGUGGGGUAAAGGCCUACCAAGGCAACGAUCGGUAGCCGAGCUGAGAGGCUCAACGGCCACAUUGGGACUGAGAUACGGCCCAGACUCCUACGGGAGGCAGCAGUCGGGAAUAUUGCACAAUGGAGGAAACUCUGAUGCAGUGACACCGCGUAUAGGAAGAAGGUUUUCGGAUUGUAAACUAUUUUAGACAGGGAAGAAAAAAGACAGUACCUGUAGAAUAAGCUCCGGCUAACUACGUGCCAGCAGCCGCGGUAAUACGUAGGGAGCAAGCGUUAUCCGGAAUUAUUGGGUGUAAAGGGUGCGUAGACGGGACAGCAAGUUAGUUGUGAAAGCCCUCGGCUUAACUGAGGAACUGCAACUAAAACUAUUGUUCUUGAGUGCAGGAGAGGAAAGCGGAAUUCCUAGUGUAGCGGUGAAAUGCGUAGAUAUUAGGAGGAACACCAGUGGCGAAGGCGGCUUUCUGGACUGUAACCGACGUUGAGGCACGAAAGUGUGGGGAGCAAACAGGAUUAGAUACCCUGGUAGU
This 668-nucleotide ribosomal RNA is filed under the name uncultured bacterium. RNAcentral describes it as "bacterial SSU rRNA". It matches the Rfam family "Bacterial small subunit ribosomal RNA", at positions 111 to 794 of the family's 1533-position model. The record is from RNAcentral.